GACGAACGCUGGCGGCGUGCUUAACACAUGCAAGUCGAACGGAAAGGCCCUGCUUUUGUGGGGUGCUCGAGUGGCGAACGGGUGAGUAACACGCGAGUAACCUGCCCUUGACUUUGGGAUAACUUCAGGAAACUGGGGCUAAUACCGGAUAGGAGCUCCUGCUGCAUGGUGGGGGUUGGAAAGUUUCGGCGGUUGGGGAUGGACUCGCGGCUUAUCAGCUUGUUGGUGGGGUAGUGGCUUACCAAGGCUUUGACGGGUAGCCGGCCUGCGAGGGUGACCGGGCACAUUGGGACUGAGAUACGGCCCAGACUCCUACGGGAGGCAGCAGUGGGGAAUAUUGCACAAUGGGCGGAAGCCUGAUGCAGCAACGCCGCGUGCGGGAUGACGGCCUGCGGGUUGUAAACCGCUUUCGCCUGUGACGAAGCGUGAGUGACGGUAAUGGGUAAAGAAGCACCGGCUAACUACGUG
This 468-nucleotide ribosomal RNA is filed under the name uncultured bacterium. Its description in RNAcentral is "partial 16S ribosomal RNA". It matches the Rfam family "Bacterial small subunit ribosomal RNA", at positions 28 to 507 of the family's 1533-position model. The record is from RNAcentral.